This 595-nucleotide antisense RNA is filed under the name Nocardiopsis dassonvillei subsp. dassonvillei DSM 43111. Its description in RNAcentral is "Saccharopolyspora sRNA 389". It matches the Rfam family "Saccharopolyspora sRNA 389". Lineage: Bacteria; Bacillati; Actinomycetota; Actinomycetes; Streptosporangiales; Nocardiopsidaceae. The record is from Rfam by way of RNAcentral.
ACCAGGCGGGUGGUGGUCUUGUGCAGGAAAUCCUGUCUGGCGUGGCGGACCUUGCGGUACGCGGCCGCGACCCUGCGCUUGGCCUUGCGGCGGUUGUUCGAGCCUUUCACCUUGCGUGCCAUGCGUCGUUGGUAACGCUUGAGGUUGCGGGCUUUGCGCUCCAGGUGGCGGGGGUUGGCGAUCUUCUCGCCCGUGGACAGGGUCGCGAAGUCCUUCACUCCCAGGUCCACACCCACCUCAGAACCGGUGUCCGGUACGGGGUCGGGGUCGUCGGUGUCCACGGAGAAGGUCGCAUACCAGCGCCCGUCCGCCUCACGCGAGAUGACCACCGUGGUCGGGUCCAGGGCGGCCAGGUCUGUCUCGGGCCAGGACCAGGCCACCUUCAGCGGCCUCUGGUGUUUGGCCAGGAACAGCGCACCGUCGCGGAGGCGAAACGCGCUGCGGGUGUAGUGCGCCGACUGCCGACCGGACCGGUUCUUGAACCGGGGGUAGCGGGCGCGUUGGGCGAAGAAGUUCGCGAACGCGCUGUGUUGGUGGCGCAGGGUCUGCUGCAAGGGAACCGAGGACACCUCGGACAAGAACGCCAGCUCAGGGG